AAGAAGUCAGGCCAGAUUAAGCCAUAGUACGGUAAGAGCUAUGCUGCCUGUGAGCCCCGUCUAAGGACGUAAAAUGAAGUCAGGCCGAAAGCCACGGCUUGAGCAAACCGUGCUGCCUGUAGCUCCAUCGUGGGGAUGUAAAAACCUGGGAGGCUGCAACCCAUGGAAGCUGUACGCAUGGGGUAGCAGACUAGUGGUUAGAGGAGACCCCUCCCGAAACACAACGCAGCAGCGGGGCCCAACACCAG
Molecule: long non-coding RNA, 248 nt
Filed under: dengue virus type 1
Lineage: Riboviria; Orthornavirae; Kitrinoviricota; Flasuviricetes; Amarillovirales; Flaviviridae
Description: Dengue virus 1 partial sfRNA1
Rfam family: Flavivirus DB element (bases 149-220)
Source: RNAcentral